GAUGAACGCUGACAGAAUGCUUAACACAUGCAAGUCUUUGGCGAAGCUGUGCUCGCACAGCCUAGCCAAGGCGGACGGGUGAGUAACGCGUAAGGAACUUGCCCUGCAGUCAGGGAUAACAGACGGAAACGACUGAUAAGACCUGGUAAAGUCAGGCGGACUCAUGUCCAGCCUGAUGAAAAGAGAUGCUGCAGGAGAGCCUUGCGUCCUAUUAGCUUGUUGGUGGGGUAACGGCCCACCAAGGCGAUGAUAGGUAGCCGGCCUGAGAGGGUGGACGGCCACAAGGGGACUGAGAUACGGCCCUUACUCCUACGGGAGGCAGCAGUGGGGAAUAUUGGACAAUGGGGGCAACCCUGAUACAGCAAUUCUGUGUGCACGAUGAAGGUUUUCGGAUUGUAAAGUGCUUUCAGCAGGGAAGAAAAAAAUGACGGUACCUGCAGAAGAAGCGACGGCUAAAUACGUG
Molecule: ribosomal RNA, 463 nt
Filed under: uncultured bacterium
Lineage: Bacteria
Description: partial 16S ribosomal RNA
Rfam family: Bacterial small subunit ribosomal RNA
Source: RNAcentral